Molecule: ribosomal RNA, 834 nt
Filed under: uncultured Alphaproteobacteria bacterium
Lineage: Bacteria; Pseudomonadati; Pseudomonadota; Alphaproteobacteria
Description: bacterial SSU rRNA
Rfam family: Bacterial small subunit ribosomal RNA
Source: RNAcentral
GAGUUUGAUCCUGGCUCAGAACGAACGCUGGCGGCAGGCUUAACACAUGCAAGUCGAACGCCCCGCAAGGGGAGUGGCAGACGGGUGAGUAACGCGUGGGAACGUACCUUUCGCUUCGGAAUAGUCCCGGGAAACUGGGUUUAAUACCGAAUACGCCGUAUUGGGAAAGAUUUAUCGGCGAAAGAUCGGCCCGCGUUAGAUUAGCUAGUUGGCGGUGUAAUGGACCACCAAGGCUACGAUCUAUAGCUGGUCUGAGAGGAUGAUCAGCCACACUGGGACUGAGACACGGCCCAGACUCCUACGGGAGGCAGCAGUGGGGAAUCUUGGACAAUGGGCGCAAGCCUGAUCCAGCCAUGCCGCGUGAGUGAAGAAGGCCUUAGGGUUGUAAAACUCUUUCGCCGGUGAAGAUAAUGACGGUAACCGGAGAAGAAGCCCCGGCUAACUUCGUGCCAGCAGCCGCGGUAAUACGAAGGGGGCUAGCGUUGUUCGGAAUUACUGGGCGUAAAGCGCACGUAGGCGGGUUUGUAAGUAGGGGGUGAAAUCCCAGGGCUCAACCCUGGAACUGCCUUCUAGACUGCAAGCCUGGAGGUCAGGAGAGGCGAGUGGAAUACCGAGUGUAGAGGUGAAAUUCGUAGAUAUUCGGUGGAACACCAGUGGCGAAGGCGACUCGCUGGACUGAUACUGACGCUGAGGUGCGAAAGCGUGGGGCAGCAAACAGGAUUAGAUACCCUGGUAGUCCACGCCUUAAACGAUGAGAGCUAGUUGUCAGUAAGCAUGCUUAUUGGUGACGCAGCUAACGCAUUAAGCUCUCCGCCUGGGGAGUACGGCCGCAAG